RNAcentral lists this ribosomal RNA (545 nucleotides) under Phlegmacium pseudolargus. RNAcentral's name for it is "eukaryotic LSU rRNA". The stretch from base 110 to 263 matches the Rfam family "5.8S ribosomal RNA". The record is from RNAcentral. Lineage: Eukaryota; Fungi; Basidiomycota; Agaricomycetes; Agaricales; Cortinariaceae.
GAGGAUUGAUAUUAUGUCUCUCCUUACAUUUCCAGGCCUAUGUUUCUUCAUAUACCCCAAUGUAUGUCAUAGAAUGUAAUCAAUGGCCUUUGUGCCUAUAAACCUAUACAACUUUCAGCAACGGAUCUCUUGGCUCUCGCAUCGAUGAAGAACGCAGCGAAAUGCGAUAAGUAAUGUGAAUUGCAGAAUUCAGUGAAUCAUCGAAUCUUUGAACGCACCUUGCGCUCCUUGGUAUUCCGAGGAGCAUGCCUGUUUGAGUGUCAUUAAUAUAUCAACCUCUUCAGCUUUUGCUUGUUGAGUGUUGGAUGUGGGGGUCUUUUUGCUGGUCUUCCUAGGUCAGCUCCCCUGAAAUGCAUUAGCGGAACAAUUUGUGGACCGUUCAUUGGUGUGAUAACUAUCUACGCUAUUGACGUGAAGCAGUUCAGCUUCUAACAGUCCAUUGACUUGGACAAAUUCUUCAUUAAUGUGACCUCAAAUCAGGUAGGACUACCCGCUGAACUUAAGCAUAUCAAUAAGCGGAGGAAAAGAAACUAACAAGGAUUCCC